GAUGAACGCUGGCGGCGUGCCUAAUACAUGCAAGUCGAGCGAACAGACGAGGAGCUUGCUCCUUUGACGUUAGCGGCGGACGGGUGAGUAACACGUGGAUAACCUACCUAUAAGACUGGGAUAACUUCGGGAAACCGGAGCUAAUACCGGAUAACAUGUUGAACCGCAUGGUUCAACAGUGAAAGACGAUCUUGCUGUCACUUAUAGAUGGAUCCGCGCCGCAUUAGCUAGUUGGUAAGGUAACGGCUUACCAAGGCAACGAUGCGUAGCCGACCUGAGAGGGUGAUCGGCCACACUGGAACUGAGACACGGUCCAGACUCCUACGGGAGGCAGCAGUAGGGAAUCUUCCGCAAUGGGCGAAAGCCUGACGGAGCAACGCCGCGUGAGUGAAGAAGGUCUUCGGAUCGUAAAACUCUGUUAUUAGGGAAGAACAAAUGUGUAAGUAACUAUGCACGUCUUGACGGUACCUAAUCAGAAAGCCACGGCUAACUACGUG
RNAcentral lists this ribosomal RNA (497 nucleotides) under uncultured bacterium. Its description in RNAcentral is "partial 16S ribosomal RNA". It matches the Rfam family "Bacterial small subunit ribosomal RNA", at positions 28 to 507 of the family's 1533-position model. The record is from RNAcentral.